RNAcentral lists this transfer RNA (89 nucleotides) under Penicillium antarcticum. The record is from Rfam by way of RNAcentral. Lineage: Eukaryota; Fungi; Ascomycota; Eurotiomycetes; Eurotiales; Aspergillaceae.
ACUUGCGUGGUCUAAUGGUCAUGACGUCUGAUUCACAAAUGAAUCUCACAAUUCUCAGAAGGUUCCCGGUUCGAUCCCGGGCGCGAGUA